Molecule: long non-coding RNA, 504 nt
Filed under: Polistes fuscatus (common paper wasp)
Lineage: Eukaryota; Metazoa; Arthropoda; Insecta; Hymenoptera; Vespidae
Description: uncharacterized LOC122524658
Source: RNAcentral
UAAUAUAUGUAAAUCUUCAAUUAAUCUGGUAAAGAAUGUAUUAAUUGACGUGUAAGUGUCAUAUUGAUGUUAUGUAAUUAAUAUAUGCCAGUUUUUCCAUACAUUUUAUCAAGCAACGCAAUGUUUCUACUCGCGCAUGCGUACAAAUUCUCACAACCUCUUCUACAUUUUAGUCGAAUCCUAAAAGUUUUUUUGGAGUUUACAUACAUUUCGAUUGAAUCUUUUUUUCUUUUUCACCAUACGUGGACCCACUCCUAUCUUAAUUUCAUGUUCUAAGGAAUACAUUAUAAUGUUAAUAUUUCUUUUCAUCUUCCUUGUAUGUUUUCUUAAACAGGAAAGAUAACUCGCAUACUGGAUUACACGACAAGAAUUUGGAAUACUACGUUUAAUAGCUUUCGUUCAUAUGGAUAUGUAUAAGAUACAAUAAAAUGAAGAGACAUAUAUUAAUGCAUUAUAAACAUGUAUCAAAGAGAAUAUAUAAAUAAAUUGACUAAAUCGCGGCAA